UGGGGAAUUUUGGACAAUGGAGGAAACCCUGAUCCAGCCAUGCCGCGUGAGUGAAGAAGGCCUUCGGGUUGUAAAGCUCUUUCGGCCGGGAAGAAAUCGCACAGGCUAAUACUCUGUGUGGAUGACGGUACCGGCAUAAGAAGCACCGGCUAACUACGUGCCAGCAGCCGCGGUAAUACGUAGGGUGCGAGCGUUAAUCGGAAUUACUGGGCGUAAAGCGUGCGCAGGCGGUUAGAUAAGUUUGAUGUGA
RNAcentral lists this ribosomal RNA (250 nucleotides) under uncultured bacterium. RNAcentral describes it as "partial 16S ribosomal RNA". It matches the Rfam family "Bacterial small subunit ribosomal RNA", at positions 355 to 597 of the family's 1533-position model. The record is from RNAcentral.